CUUGCUGGGUGGAUUAGUGGCGAACGGGUGAGUAACACGUGAGUAACCUGCCCUUAACUCUGGGAUAAGCCUGGGAAACUGGGUCUAAUACCGGAUAGGAGCGUCCACCGCAUGGUGGGUGUUGGAAAGAUUUAUCGGUUUUGGAUGGACUCGCGGCCUAUCAGCUUGUUGGUGAGGUAAUGGCUCACCAAGGCGACGACGGGUAGCCGGCCUGAGAGGGUGACCGGCCACACUGGGACUGAGACACGGCCCAGACUCCUACGGGAGGCAGCAGUGGGGAAUAUUGCACAAUGGGCGCAAGCCUGAUGCAGCGACGCCGCGUGAGGGAUGACGGCCUUCGGGUUGUAAACCUCUUUCAGUAGGGAAGAAGCGA
Molecule: ribosomal RNA, 373 nt
Filed under: Micrococcus luteus
Lineage: Bacteria; Bacillati; Actinomycetota; Actinomycetes; Micrococcales; Micrococcaceae
Description: bacterial SSU rRNA
Rfam family: Bacterial small subunit ribosomal RNA
Source: RNAcentral